This 253-nucleotide ribosomal RNA is filed under the name uncultured bacterium. RNAcentral's name for it is "partial 16S ribosomal RNA". It matches the Rfam family "Bacterial small subunit ribosomal RNA", at positions 524 to 776 of the family's 1533-position model. The record is from RNAcentral.
UACGUAGGGUGCAAGCGUUGUCCGGAAUUAUUGGGCGUAAAGAGCUCGUAGGCGGUCUGUCGCGUCGGCUGUGAAAACCCGGGGCUCAACCCCGGGCCUGCAGUCGAUACGGGCAGACUAGAGUGCGGUAGGGGUGACUGGAAUUCCUGGUGUAGCGGUGAAAUGCGCAGAUAUCAGGAGGAACACCGGUGGCGAAGGCGGGUCUCUGGGCCGAUACUGACGCUGAGGAGCGAAAGCAUGGGUAGCGAACAGG